GAGUUUGAUCGUGGCUCAGAUUGAACGCUGGCGGCAUGCCUUACACAUGCAAGUCGAACGGCAGCACGGGAGCUUGCUCCUGGUGGCGAGUGGCGAACGGGUGAGUAAUGCAUCGGAACGUAUCCUGGAGUGGGGGAUAACGUAGCGAAAGUUACGCUAAUACCGCAUAUUCUGUGAGCAGGAAAGCGGGGGACCUUCGGGCCUCGCGCUCUUGGAGCGGCCGAUGUCGGAUUAGCUAGUUGGUGAGGUAAAGGCUCACCAAGGCGACGAUCCGUAGCAGGUCUGAGAGGAUGAUCUGCCACACUGGAACUGAGACACGGUCCAGACUCCUACGGGAGGCAGCAGUGGGGAAUUUUGGACAAGUGGGGGCAACCCUGUUCCAGCCAUGCCGCGUGAGUGAAGAAGGCCUCGGUUG
Molecule: ribosomal RNA, 415 nt
Filed under: bacterium enrichment culture clone ALO1_GLFRUDD03FQYZ4
Lineage: Bacteria
Description: bacterial SSU rRNA
Rfam family: Bacterial small subunit ribosomal RNA
Source: RNAcentral